AAAUUCCUCUCCUUGACAGUAGAAGACAUAUUUGGCACAACCUAUGUCAAGGUUUCCUUUAUUUAUACAUAUCAGCAUACUUUAUACAUGUUUGUUUGGCUAUUUCUGCCACAGUUGUGCAGCCAGUUGAAUCAUUCCUACCAUGUAAACGCCUAUAAAUAUUUAUACUAACUUUUUCUCAUAAGAUAUUUAAAUGUUACUCCCUCCGUUUCACAAAGAAUGACCUCCUUUCCUUUUUAGUCAGUUUAAAAAAGAAUGACCUCUUUCCUUUUUUGGUAACAUUUUACUUUUUGCUUUCCACGUGACAUGUUUAAGACCACAAGAUUAAAAGACAAUUUUGUACAUUUGACAUAACUUUAAUUUAGAACCACAAGAUUCAAAAAUCUUCUUUAUUUACUUAAACUCCGUGCCAAGUCAAACCAGGUCAUUCUUUGUGAAACGGAGGGAUACAAUUUUUUUCUUUUUGUUUUCAGCACCAGCUACUAUGCGUUAAUCAUGUACAACAGAUAUAGUCGAAUAGACUAUUCCGUAUUCUGCUGAGGAAGUCAUCCGGAUAAACUCUAACAGUUCUAUCCUACAUAGAAAAGGAACAUGUUUUCCCGUCAAGCAUUAACUAGAGAAACGCUAAAAAGGUGAAGCCGCUCAGCACAAGCAAGGUGGGGAUAGUGCCAUCAGUUAUUGAAUCUGAAUCUUCACACCAACAAAAAAGUUAAUAAAAUAUUAGUCAAUUAAUCAUCCUUUAAUUUGUUCCAAUGCAAAGGGUAGUCCAUCAGAUUUAUGUAUUGUACAGGCAAACAUGCAUCUAUUCUUGAAAGACAAGCACUACAAUUUAGUUACAUUUGGUCGGAAUAAGUUUUGUUUCCUCAUUUUUUCAAAUUUUAUAUGUUAUUGAUUUUUCCAAUCUAUCUCAAAUGACGUCCUCUUAUUUCACACGCUAAUUAGACGAGAAUGUAGAUUAAUUAAUAAUUCCCCCAUUCCCUUUUGUUUGUUGGUACAUUGGUAAGCAACAUCCCAUUCUAUGUCAUAUUAGUUUCCUAUAUGUUUCUCCAGUAAAUUCAAUGGAAAAAUCACUCUUACGAUUUUCAUUUUCUAUCAUUUCGGUGAAGAUAUGAUUAUUUUUUUAUCAUCAAAAUUUACAUAGCUUUAUUAUCUGAUAAUGCAUCAGAUAACUUUUGUAGUCUUCUGUGUCAGUCAUGUGUUAUUUUUGAAUUUUGUUGCAUAUAGAUUAUUUAUUUAACAUUCAGUUUGUUGUAGUCUCAUUUUUUCCAUUUUAUUUUUCCUCUCAAGUUCUUUGUCAUCUGAAUUAGAUUAAAAGGAAUUGUGAAUGAAAUUUGUAAUAGUCAGCAUCGUGGUAUUCUUAUUGAAUGAGCUAUCUUUCUUGGUGCCCGAGAUCAACAUUAAAUUAAGUGGCUAUGGCUGAAAUUUGAAUUGAUAAAUAGCACUAUAAGAGCAAAAUAAAUUUACAUGAAUUAUGUUGCAACUUUUGCUAAGUUUGUUAUCUUCUAACCCCACUUCUACCCUUACAUUUCUAGAUGUUUGAGUAGUGUCUAAUUGCAGAAACUAUAUUCCUUAUUUUGGUGUUACUGGAAAAGAAUAAUUUUUUGGAUUCUCAAUCCGUAUGGAAGACCAAUUAUUAGGAACUAGGAAGGAGGGAGUAACAAAGAUGGUAUGCAGGUUUUUCAGCUUUUUUUGUCCCCCCAACUCUCCAGAUUCAAAAGCAAAUGGAUAUGCUAUUUUCAGUUAAGUUUGUGGAAGUGACUUUCGUUUAAGUUAACAUUCAC
This 1781-nucleotide long non-coding RNA is filed under the name Solanum tuberosum (potato). RNAcentral describes it as "long non-coding RNA (STUB_LNC004031)". The record is from RNAcentral. Lineage: Eukaryota; Viridiplantae; Streptophyta; Magnoliopsida; Solanales; Solanaceae.